UUCCCAAACUUUCAAUCAGUACCUGGCGUUAACUCAGCAUCAGUCGAAACCAUCACGUGAGGUGAGGUGCGAUUUAAAUGUUUUCAUAAUGCCAAAAUUAACCUCCAUGAUAAUUUUCAAACCAUUUUACCCUUUUCUCUUAUUUUUCCCUUUUCCCCUUUCUCUCUCAAUCUAGGUUGAAGAAGGAUCAAGGGAAGUGGUGAGCGCAGCCCUUCAUUCCGAACACAGUGUUCAUACGUGGUAAGUGUAGCCUUUGGUUCCGACCUCCACGGUAAUUUUCUGAACUCCUGCUCUUGCUCGCGUAGGUGGUAAGCUUCGAUCAAUUCCAACUUCCAACUUGAAGGAACAUAGAGGAGAAGAGAGGAGACUGUUCACGCGCAGGUUGAAUGAACGUCCAAGAAGGUGGUCGUCCGUUAUGAGAGAGCGCAAGGUCCAAUUCUGAGAAUUGAUGAGGGCGAGGAGCUUGCCGACUUUUGGGAUGCUCUAGCUAGUGCUCCGCUUCUUAGUGAUGAUCUUGACAAAGUGGCCGACAAACUCGAUUUUUCUGCCAGUAAGGAUCAGGUUGCAACGGCAAUUCGUCUUGGGGUUGGUGGGAAGAAGGUGGAUGAAUAUGAUUUGGACUAUGAGAUUUUCCAGAAGGCGCUUUCGGGUGGUGUGGUUAUACA
Non-coding RNA from Nelumbo nucifera (sacred lotus), 665 nucleotides. NCBI's taxonomy places the organism in Eukaryota, Viridiplantae, Streptophyta, Magnoliopsida, Proteales, Nelumbonaceae. The record is from RefSeq and is a predicted model, not a curated record.